Molecule: non-coding RNA, 320 nt
Organism: Coturnix japonica (Japanese quail)
Lineage: Eukaryota; Metazoa; Chordata; Aves; Galliformes; Phasianidae
Source: RefSeq, a predicted model, not a curated record
UGUUUUGUAAAUACUUUCCUUCAUGCUGUUCUUAUUGAAUUGGCCACUUCAGCUUCUGUACUCUUAUGAGCUGUUUUCAUGUUAAAUGUCUGUAUUGGUUAAUUUUUAGUAUGCAAAAUCUAAUCUCAACAUGUCGAUUUAUAUUUGAACAGCAAUGGAUGACUUUUUCGAAGGAUACUCAACAAGUUCUGAAAAAGAGGGCAGAAUGGCACCUGGAAUAAUUCUGAGGAAGAAGAACUGGAUUUACAGCCAAGAAGCCACAGAAGCCAAACUUGACAUCGUUAAUGAAUGUUCCCCAAAAGUUCAGAAAUAAUGGUAAG